This is a long non-coding RNA of Aquila chrysaetos chrysaetos, 696 nucleotides long. RefSeq lists it as uncharacterized. Lineage: Eukaryota; Metazoa; Chordata; Aves; Accipitriformes; Accipitridae. The transcript has 2 exons. The record is from RefSeq and is a predicted model, not a curated record.
UCAAAUGUGCUUCUAAAGACAACGUUGCAGUAAAGGAUUGACUAUAAAAACUUUCUUGCUGACAGAUCUUUGCGAAGGGUUCUCUCUUUGCUUGAUGAUUACGCUGUAAGAGAAUAACAUUGCACAUGCAGAUCUAUACCCACGUGCCCAUACUAUAAUCAAUCAAAAGUGGCAUCGUUAAGCUCAGAUCUCAGUGGAGCACUGCGGAUUGUGGGAUAUACCGUGUGGGCACGUAGAGCGUGUUGUGCCAAAGGUGCAGACACCAGCACACCCGCUAGGAAUAAAGGAGCCUGAGAAGAGUAAUAACCCCGUGUCAGAUCUCGUUCAGGGACUGCGCCUAUGUCAUCUAAAAUUUCUAGAAUUGGGAGUUUCUUCUCUCGUCUCCGAUUGCCAUCUUCCCUCCCAGGAACUCAACACUGCUCUGUCUUGGGUUUCACACUCCAAGUUUGUGUCUACUUGGUGAAUUAGUGAUGAUGUUGUUUUUCAUGGAUUGGACACUGGAGGGUGCUAAUGCAAUGGGAGCUGAAAUUGUUCUGGCAAAUUAAAGGGUUCCCCUUUGUUAGUUGUGAAAUAGUUUUAUUCUUUGUUGCAACCUUUAAAUGGAAAGACAUGAAUCGUGGUCCUUAGCAGUAGCUGAUACUGCUCGGCAUGUGUAGAGCUGUAACCAAGAAUAUCAAUAAAGUGUUAAGUCUGUGA